Molecule: non-coding RNA, 27 nt
Filed under: Homo sapiens (human)
Lineage: Eukaryota; Metazoa; Chordata; Mammalia; Primates; Hominidae
Source: RNAcentral
UCUCCAAGAUGCUAUGAGACCACAGGA